UACUUUUAUUUUGAAAAUAUGACGACAUCCUGUUGAAAAUACCUUUAUUUUGAAAAGACGAGGAUAUCCUGUCGACAUGUGCUUAGCUUUCGGUGCUUCAAUUCAGUUCGCUAUGUAUAGGAUUUCAGAAAAACAAUUCUGUGUCGGUUAAAUCGACGGUCGUUAAAAUCGGGUUAAAUCGGGGUGUAAGCGCUCCCGGUUAGGAAUGCACGGUUCAUCUCAGCACCAUUUUCCCGGUUGCUAACUGGUCUCAGUGAAAUGGAUAUGAUGGUGAAAUGGCUCCCUCCGGUUCAAAUAUUGAGCAGCAAGCGUUUGACGGUAUUAAUACAUCGGCCGCGAUUGAUCCAGACAUUGCAGCCGAUGGUAAAACAAGAUCCAUCUCCAACAUUUUUUAUGAGAAAUCAAAAUUUUAGAUUUUUUUUAUGUUUAUGAGAAAUCACAUUUUUUUUUAGAUUUCAUACAAUUUAAUUAUGAGGACUCAAGAAAAUUUCAUCAUAAACCAAAUUUACCUCUUUAUAUAAGAGUAAUUCCCAUGUCAUUAUAAAAUUUUGUGCUCUGAUAAAUCAUAUAAACAAGCAUGCACAUACAUAAACAUUUCAAACUAAAGAGAGACUUAUCUCUAUUUUAAAUGGUAAUAUAUGCCAUGAUAGUAACAUUACUGAAACAAAUAAUUUAUCAUACAUUUAAACAUGUAUUCAGCUGAUUGAUCUUAUAAAACACUAUUCACUUAUUUUAAAGAAGUUAAUUAAUAUAUUGUAAUUACAUAUAUAACACGCUGUAUAAAAUAAACAUUUAAUAUAGUUUUAGGUCACAAUUAAUACGGCUUACAUUUUUCUGUGAACAAUGAUGUCCAUUCCGUGAAUGAAAUGUUUCCAAUAAAAUAAAACGCAUUUAUUUUAAGUUGAAAUAUUAACAAAACGUCCCAGAUCGUCCCAGGGUUAAACACCAUUCUGAAAUGAAUGUUUCAGACCCACUCAGAGGAGGGGGUAGUUACAGACCAGAAGAUCUGAGGUGUUAUUCUGUUAACCUUUUUUCAAACCGAAUGUUAUGGCUGUGUUAAUAAUGAAUUCAAAGCCUAAUCUUAAGACUUUAAAUAAACAUUUUUUUUUCCUUACAUUUCCUGUGAUUUUUGCUUACAUUUCAAUUAAAGUAUAAUUUAUUCCACAUCAAUCGCUUCAUAAGUUUCUUAUUUUAAGUAUCAUCUUCAAUGUUUUGAUCACCUCUCACAUGUGAUGAAACAUUUAAUCAAAGUCUUUCUUUAUGUUUAAAUAUAGAACGAAAAAUAUUUAUCUUGUUUUAAAUGGAUGCGAAGGAUCCUGUUUGUUUGUAACAGCGCAGACGUGACACCCAUGUCACCUCAAACAACGUCUCAAAUAUUUAGAUGAAGUUAAUGUAUCUUUUGGAAAAAAUAUUUUCAGAAAAAGACCCUCGAUUCUAUUCAGUCAUUAAAGAUGGUUCGGGCAGAUAGCUUUAUGCCUUUGUGGACCCAUGCAUUGAAUGUUUCACAUAUGGAGAAUUGAUUUAGCUGAUGCUUGUAUGUAAUUCGAGAACUUUGACCUUUACUACCAUUAGGCUAUGUUAUGCUUCAUUUUAAAAAGUGUGUGUAAACACAAUAUAGAGUUUUCACAUAUGGAGCAAAUAAAGCUGUGAAAUAGUCAUUAUCUGGCUUUUGCUAUGGUCGUAAACUUUACACAUACCGCUGAUAUUUUCACAAACAGAACGGAAGAGUCAUUUGAAGGCUCUCUGUCGCUGUUCAAAAAAUAACACUAUUAGAAGGCAAAGAGCUUAGUUUCAGCAGUCACAUUUUAAAGUACUUUUACUCGUUUAUAAAUCACUCAAUGGCCUAUGACCUAUAUACAAUGCAAAUAUAUGCUUGCUGAAUAUAAACCUAACAGACCACUCAGAUCAUUAGGAUCAAGUCAGAAGUUACAAACACCAAGGUUUCACUCAAAACAAGGGGAGUCCACUUUUAGCUAUUAUGCCACCCGCUGUCGGAAUCAUCUUCCAGCAGAGAUCAGAUGUGCUAAACAUUAGCCAAAUUCAAAACUCAUCUGUUUAGC
Long non-coding RNA from Cyprinus carpio (common carp), 2060 nucleotides. RefSeq lists it as uncharacterized. Lineage: Eukaryota; Metazoa; Chordata; Actinopteri; Cypriniformes; Cyprinidae. The transcript is spliced from 3 exons. The record is from RefSeq and is a predicted model, not a curated record.